RNAcentral lists this unclassified non-coding RNA (3620 nucleotides) under Gigantopelta aegis. RNAcentral describes it as "dENN domain-containing protein 1A-like, transcript variant X6". Lineage: Eukaryota; Metazoa; Mollusca; Gastropoda; Neomphalida; Peltospiridae. The record is from RNAcentral.
UGGUGGACUGGGGAGUUCUUCCAUUUACUCAUGGAAAAGAUUUACGAUGACUGAACACUACAAGCAACGGGCUCAAAGAUCGGGUUGCAUACUGUUUUUCUGCACAUAGCUAGACUGGCAACGAAUGGUAACAAGCAUGGGAUCUCGACUGAGAGAAAAUCCCGACAAGUUGUUUGAAGUAUUUGUUGAAGUAGCAAAACCAGAGGGAGACCAAGAUCCCUUCAUCGUGGAAAAGUUUCCACCAGAAUAUGACAAUGAGGAGGUUUUAAAGACAAUCCCCAAGUUUGUGUACCCGUGUCAGAUGGAAUGCUCAAUUGUUGAACACUUCACCUUCACCAUGACUGAUUUAGAAAGCAUGUUUUCAUUCGGCUUCUGUCGUUAUGCUUCUGGCACCCAGACCUGUCUUUGUAUUAUCAGUUUUCUGCCGUGGUUUGAAGUGUUUUACAAGCUGCUCAACAUGCUGGCGGAGGUGACGAACCGGAGUGAGAACAACAGCGCGAUCCCCCUGCUGAAGGCCAUGUACCACCAAGACAUUCCCAUGCCCAAUGUACCGGUCACCAUCGUUGCACAACAAGACAUGUUCAGUUUCACGGCGACCGACCCCAACCAACUUCCUAGUAUUCCUAACAGUAGGAAUCUAACAGAGUAUUAUAAUGCUGUUGACAUGCACAACAUGAUGAUCGUAUUUGCAAGUAUGUUAAAUGAGCGUCGUGUCGUGUUCACCUCUAAGAAACUCAGCCGGCUGACUGCCUGUAUUCAUGCUGCAGAGGCGCUGCUCUAUCCCAUGCAUUGGCAGCAUCUUCUUAUACCUGUUCUACCAGCUAAUCUUAUUGACUACUUAAGUGCUCCAAUGCCAUAUGUUAUUGGUGUUCACACAUCGUUAAUAUGUAAAAUCAGGAACAUGGAGCUGGGAGAUGCUGUGAUAGUGGACACCGAUAAGAAUGUUGUCAAAACCGAGUACGACGACUUAGAAGACUUACCUGAGGAAGUGGUAUCCUACUUGAAGAAAAAUCUCAAGAAUGAAAGAUUAAAAGCUUCCAUGCAGAACUCGGGGGAUGCAAUAUCUAAGAUAUUUCUCGAGGCACUCGUUCGGCUGAUAGGAGGUUACCGAGAAGCUCUCAAGUUCAGUAUUGGUGAGCCGAUCACGUUCAUGCCGGAAGUGUUUGUCACGACGAGACCACCGUCGAUGAGACCCUUCCUGGAAAACAUGCUCCAUCUGCAGAUUUUCCAACAGUUCAUCAAUGGACGGCUCGAUAUCCUGAACUGUGGCCAGGGCUUCACGGACCUGUUUGAGAAGAUGGCAAUACUGCACACCGAUAAACUGAACACACAGUCGCGUUACAAGGAGUGGCUUGGAAACAUGAAGAAGCAGCAAAAGAAGUUUUCGAAAGGAGGGAAGGUUGUUUGGUCCGACUUCAAAGAAAAGGCUCCAAUCAUGAUGACCACCGCUGUUCAGUCAGUGAAGACUCAUGGGAAAAAAGCUGUGACUGGGAUUAAAACAAGGUUUCAUGAGAUUAACGAAUCUGGAAAACAUUCUUCCAAGAUGCCAACCCCUUCUACUUCCACAAAGACGUUUAAUAGACAACAACGGCCGGCUACUAUUGUUGGCUCCAAGCUGGAAAUGUCUCGUCCCCCGAGACCACCCCCACCAGGUGGAAAAGUAGCACGAUCUCAAAGCUCGAGAAUGAUCCCACAAUCAACAAAGUACUCUACGAUCAACAUCACGACUGAAGACUUGAGCCGAUUUGAGAGUUUUGACGACAACUGUCUCCCCGACGAGUACCAGCGAGUGAGUGUCAACCUGAUGACCGAUCCAGACAUCCAGUCCGCACUGCAUCGGUCGGCCAGCGACAACAACCUCAACCCAAAAACAGUCUGGUACAUCCACAACUCUCAGAUAGCAGACAGUGAUUCAUCAUCUUCUACUGACCAUUCCGGUAAUGUGACUCCAGGAGUUUCGAGCACCAGCAUACCGUACCUGGGCAUCACAGACACUGGCAGUACCGAACACAUGACAGAACAGCUCAUCAACGUCUCCAAGACCAUGGAGGAGUCGGACUUACCACCAGCCAUAUUACCACGGCAACCACUCCAGAACCUACUAGCCCAUGAUCUCACAGCGCCGCUCAGACCACCAAAACCAAGAACCAAAGAAAAAGAACUCAUCAAGUUCGAUUCCACCGAGUCAGAGUCAGACAUGUUUGAUCCCCUGAAGCAGAAGGUAGUGGAUUUACAGCAGAGGCAACCGCAGGCGUCUGGUCUUGAGAGGGGACUGAGUAACAGAGGAUCGGUCAUCAGCAGGUCUCCGGCUUUUAGGAAGCCCCAAGAAGAGACUCCAAAACGAGCGACGUAUCGACCAGAUCACGAAUCGUCGCCGGAAACCAAUUUUGACGAGCAGUCUACAUCAUCGUUUGACCCGCUGGCGGGCUUCGAUAAAAGAUUAUACCCAGGUUUUCCUCCUGCAGCUCAAGCUACAGAUGAUAAGAUGUUCAAACACGAUAAUGAUUCGUUACUCCACGACUGGACUCUGGGGCACCUGGCAGGAUCCAGAACGAGUCCCGUGACAGUUCCUCCACCCAGACCUUCCCCCCCACUCCACUGUGGCAAAAUCUCACCCGUACCUUCUGGAACCCUUCCCAUGGACCUGGCUACCAGACCAGUGCCAAAACCAAGAAAUUCUAUUGGGAACAAAUUUGAGUCUGUUCCAAUGUUCCAAAAUCCGAACCAGUCAAAUUUCCAAACCCGCGGCGGCCCCUCUCCUCAGUUAGGGACCUCGAGCCAGACUUCUUCUAGUGAUCCUUUUGGGGCUCUGCUUCAGCCAUCGUUUCACAGUUCUAACAUGGGUGGCGGCAGUAAGCUGGCUCCAGAACCCACAGGACAAGUCAGACAGAAAAGUGAUCCAUUUGAGGACUUGAUGGGAUUAACACUAAAUCCCCCCGUGUCGAAACCUCAGCCAUCAGACAGUCAUAGGUCUACGUCAGCAAAGUCAUCAACGUUUUAUGCUCCUAAACCAAAGUGGCAGACUUUUGAUUGACCUUUCAGUCAGUUUUUUUUUAAAGCUAUUUGUUAAAUUUAUUUAUUGUUGUUACGCUGAGUUGAGGUGUGAAUGUGGGCGUGUGUUACAAGUUAAUGCUCAAAAACUACAUAUCCAUGAUAAUUUCUACGUCAGAACUGACAAAUGGGUAACAGACGCGGAGGGUAGAGCUUCUGUCAACAAAUGUUGGUACCAGUAUUUGAUUCUACUUUCAAAGUGUAUGUUUUGACUACAUUUGACCGAGAUAUAGGUGUCACAUUUCUGACUCUAUUCUAGUUUCUCUCAGACUUGUUUGUACCAGUAUUUGAUUCCAGUUCAAGGUGUAUGUUUUCACAGCAUUUAACCAAGAUAUCUGUAUCACUUUUCUGACUCAUUAUUCCAUUGUGCAGAACAGUUUGUGAAGACUGCGGCCAACUAUACUCUGGAAGGUCUGCCGUCCGCAGACGUGAUUGUCCAUCACGGCAGACGAGGCGGGCACCAGUGUUGUGAACUAGGAGUCAUCUCCAAGGACACCGCGUUUCAAGAUUCAUUGGAAGGAAUGAUCUAGUUUUUAUAUAUUGUUUAAUAAAUCGACAUUGUAAUGCAA